Molecule: long non-coding RNA, 10044 nt
Filed under: Homo sapiens (human)
Lineage: Eukaryota; Metazoa; Chordata; Mammalia; Primates; Hominidae
Description: HSALNT0224954
Source: RNAcentral
AACGGACUCUGUGAGAUCAGAGACAAGGAGUAAAAUGCCUGAGCUCAAGUGACAACAAGCAACCCCAGACUAGAGACAGGAUCCUUCUCCCCACUUCGAGCAGAUCCCAGCAUGAAUCCUGCAGUAUGGUGAUGGCAAAAGUCAGUGCAGGACCACUGGGACUCCUGGAGCUUCUCACAUCUCUGAGAGCACCAGCAGCAGAAAACAUCGCCCAUUUCAUCUGUUUCUUCAGUCCCCAGAUAGCAGAUGACUGGUAGGAAGAUGAGGCAAGUUUGCGGUCCAUUGUCAUGGAUAGUGGAGACAACACUGGGCCAGAAGUGGUAAGACCUGAAUCCAAGACUCAGCUCUGCCACUUGCUAAAUGGGACUUUGAAUAAACCAUUUCUCUGCACUUAAGUUCCUUACCAACAAAACGAGGGAAGUGGCCUACAUGCCUAGAUAUCAACAUUUCAUGUCACGUAGAGAUCUAGCAUCACAAGAAUCCAAGUCAUCCUCUGUUGCCUUUAAGAAAUUAGAAUUAAAGGAAUCAGAAUUGAAGUGAAUCUGACUACACUAAGCCUAUCACUUGUGACAGCCAUGGGAAGAUAUCAUUGGUUGCUGAGGAGCAGAAAUAAGCAGAGACCUAUUGUGUUAGGUUAUCAUUCAUUUCAGACAAAAAGCAGAUCAGCAAGUUUUCAUAUUGCACUAUUUUCAAUGGCUGGAGCAUCAACAUUUUACAACAAGAAAAAAAUUAAAAUUCUUCAACAUUUGGAAAAGAAGUGUUUGUAAAACUUUUCACAUCCAUUCACCAUCCGGAAAAGCAAGGUUUUACAGUGAGGCCUGAUGAUGUCUAGAGUCACCAUGCAUCUUGGAAAAUGACCUCCUAUUUAUUUCUUCUACAGGACACCAUGGUGUUCACCUUUCUACAACUUUACACUUGCUGAGGACAUAUUGUGGAAAAUUAAGAGAAAUAUAUAUGGAUGGCCAAGGCUGUAGAUGGAUGUCCAAGCCUUUUUACUGGGGAAUGUUUUCAGAACAAAAUGAGUUACAGGUUCAAGAGUGAAACCCAACAAAUCUUGGCUCUUUUUUUCUCUACUAAAUUCCAAAUCAAAAGUAUUUAUGGAGUGCUUUUAAUGUGCCACGCACUGGGCUAGAGAUUCAUAAUUUUGAUGGGAAUCUGUGUAUUCAAACUCUUUUAACGUGGAAACCUUGCUUGUGCAAGGUCCUCCCAGAUCUUAUCCUACUUUAUCAAAGCUUGGCUAAAUGCAACAUGUCUUCUCCCCAGUGCCCUGGGUCUCUGUACACGCAGUAAAGUGGUCCUUAGACAUAUGCUGAAAUAGGGCUUAAUUUUCCCCAUAUACGAAUGAGAUAAAUUCUACUACAUGUAGCCAGACUUCGAUAGGGAGAACACCCAAAGUCACUUAAAAUAAAACUACACUUUCAUUUUUGCAAGCCAAAUAAUCCUGGAGGAAAUUGUGCUAAUUUUUUUUUCAAAUUUUCAGUUUACACAUUGGAGUUUUGACUUCAAUAUGUAAAAAGUGCAUGAAAAUGAAUGUAGUGCAUCUUUCCUCAUAUGCUCUGCAGUGAUGCGAACUGACUGCAUGGCUAGCUGGUCACCUGAUAAAGGGCACACAGAGAUUCUUGUAGUUCAUUAGGGAUUACUCCGAGGUUGAACACAGGUUUUUCUUUUUCUCAGAUAUAUAGGUAAGACUUGAACUUCAAUUUCCUGCAUAGUGAAUAUGGUUUCUAUUGUCAUGAUUGAGCUUUUUUCAUUUUAAACACUGAGAGCUUCUUUUGAGUUUGUGGGACCCACGCUUUUGGGCAAAGACUGCUUUCUCAAGGCACAUAUGUUCAGAUGUUCAGGUCAUGAUGCAGAGGUAUCAGCUGGGAGGUGCCCCAGGUAAGUUUGCUACUAAACUUCACCCACCCUCAUCUGAGAGGCCACGUCUCUUCCCCUGAGUCUGGGGAUCAUGACACUUUAUAUGUCAGCUACUUUCUUUUUUCGUUUUAUUUUAUUUUAUUUUUGAGAUGGAGUCUCACUCUGUCUCUCAGGCUGGAGUGCAGUGGCACAAUUUUGGCUCACUGCAACCUCUGCCUCCCAGGUUCAAGUGAUUCUUCUAACUCAGCCUCCCAAGUAGCUGGGAUUAUAGGUGCACGCCACCACACCCAGCAAAUUUUUGUAUUUUUUUUUUUUUAGUAGAGACAAGGUUCUGCCAUGUUGGCCAGGCUGGUCUCGAACUCCUGCCCUCAGGUGAUCCGCUCGCCUCGGCCUCCCAAAGUGCUGGGAUUACAGGUGUGAGCCACUGCACCCGGCCACAUCAGCUACUAUUUAAUGAACAUCUUUCCCUGGACAAGAACAAAACUCAAAGAAAUCCAACAGAUUGCAACUUAGUCCUGGGGAGAGAAAAGUCCACAUGUUAAGCAGAAAGCUGAACCACAUAGAAUUCAACCUUUGGUGCCGCUAGUGUUGACAAGGAAGGAUAGAUUCUCUGAGCUAGAGUAAUAAAGAAAGAGAAAUGAGAAACUAGUAUAUCUCCAAAGGUUCUCAAAGUAUUAUUCCUGGACCAGUAGCAUCAACAUUCCCUGAAAAUAUGUUGGAAUUAAAGAUCUCAGCCUCCACCCAGACUUACUGAAUCAGAAAUUCUGGAGCAGGGUCCACUAAUCCUUGUUUUAGUCUUCUGGGUGAUUCUGAUACACACUCAAGUUUGAGACCCUCUGUCUAGCUACACCAUGCUCUUUUUACUUCAACUCAUUAUCCCCACAACAUGAUGCCAUAAUAUAGGAGAUUACAUAGUGUCAGGCUUUGCUUAACUUAGGCUAAGUCUUUAGAUAGAUACAAAGAGGUCAUUCAAUUAGUGGUACCUAUUGGAUAGGGCUCUUAUACCAUCCAUUUUGUUCCGGCAGUUCUUAGCUCAGUUCCUGGGACACAAUAAAUGAUUAACAAAUAGAUAACUAGUUAUUGAAUGAGUGUGGAUUGAUGAAGUUUGAGUAUACACACACACACACACACACAGACACACACAAUGUGAGCCAUACAAGAGAAUGAACGGGAAAGCAAAUUUCUUCUUGAAUACUCAUAAAAUCAGCUUUUAAUACCAAAUAUUAUUUCUUUAGGCCAUAUCCCACUGGAGCCUGAAUUGCUACAAUAGCAUUCUGGAGAUUUUCCUCCUUUCUAGUAUUGGCCUAUCCUAAUGUAUUACAUAACUAGCUUUCUGGAAAAUAUUCCUCAAGGAUCACUUGCUUGCAUAACUUACUUUAGAAAUUCUUCAGUGUUUGAGUGUGUAGUUCUUUCUGUGCUGUGUGCCCAUUGUAUCUUGUGAAUUCCUGUCUACUAAGGUAAAUAUCUGUCCACAUGUCUCAUUCCUUCACUAAACUAAGAAAUCACUGUAAAGAAAAAUGUAUUAGUCUGUUCUCACACUGGUGAUAGAGACAUACCCAUGACCAGGCAAUUUACAAAAGAAAGAGGUUUACUGGACUUACAGUUCCACAUGGCUGGAGAGACCUCACAAUCAUGGCAGAAGGUGAAAGUCACGUCUCACAUGGCAGCAGACAAGAGAAGAGAGCUUGUGCAGGGAAACUCCCCUUUUUAAAACGAUGAGAUCUCAUGAGACUUAUUCACUAUCAUGAGAACAGCAUGGGAAAGACCUGUACCCAUGAUUCAAUUACCUUUUACUGGGUCCCUCCCACAACAGGUGGGAAUUUAAGAUGAGAUUUGAGUGGGGACACAGCCAAACCAUAUCAAAAAAUAAUUUAUUAAUUACCUUGUAUGAUUCUUUUUCCUAUUCCUGGGAUUUAGCACUGUUCCUAAAAUGACUUAUAAAAAUAUUUCAUGUGUAUUUAUGUAUAAGUACCACACACUAACAGAUUGCCCCACUGGAGCACCCAAUUUGUGUUUAUUUAAUCCGUGAAAACGAUUAGUUCCUGGCCAUGAAGUUUAUGCUCCUCCCAUAAUUUUAUGCCAGUUUUUCAGCCUUGUGAAUUUCCUCUUUUAUCCAUCACCUCAAUUAUUGUUUUUACAGGUGGAGUCUCACUAUGAUGCCCAGGCUGUACUUGAACUUCUAGGCUCAAGUGACCUUCCCACUUGAGCCUCUGGUAGCUGAGACUACUGGGGUGUGCCACCUUGCCUGGCUUCUCCUCUCACCUUUAGCUCAACAAGUCCUCUUGGAGUCCUCCUCUUACUCAAGCAGUGCUCAAGCCACCACUGGGUCAUACUUUACAUACCUUAGGGUGGCACUGUAUUUGAGGGUUCACAUUUAAAUGUGCCAAAUGCAUGCAAAGCCUGGUUUACAUUUAGGAGCUUUAUAUUUUUUUUGGCUUAAGGUCUGGUCUAUCUGGUCUAUAUGAAAAAUAGACUUCUUGAGCAGCCCCACCCUUUCUCACUUACAAACUUGUUCAUAAUUGGGCUUUAAAUAAAUAAAUAUUUACUUACUUAUUUACUUAAUGAGGUUGACAGCUUGGUGAGAUGUUUGACAAUGAUAAUUUCAAUAAUUUCUGUCAUUUUUAGUUCCAAGAGGAACCAUCACCCAGUUGAAACUGUGAACCUCUCUCACAAAGUCUAAGUAGCCCUUGAUUCAAGCUAUGGGCACCAGUCUCCACAUAAUCUACUCAGAAGCACUGUAGUGUGGAAAUUGGCAAUGUCUGCCUUCUCCAAAUCAUUCAAUAGAGUUUCAGCUUUUCUCAGGCAUUCUGCAUAUUUAUAAAAGUUAGCUCGAUGCAGUAUUCCAAUAAAACCACCAAUUAUAUGCCUUUCAAAGGAUGUCAUCUUCUGAAAGCGUUCCACAUGGCUAUAAUCUUAUUACCUCUGGUUGAAGUAGUCACAGACCAAACUAAACGGUGAGUAGAGAUUGGUUAUAGGGAUUAUUUUUCCCAUCAGAGUCAGUGUAAGUGACUGCCCUCUCCCUUGUGGUAUGUUUCAGUCCUGACUUGACUAGUGAAGCCACUCCUACAGAUUUCAAACUCUUUGCCAGGGUAGGAAAACACAGGUUGGCUUCACUUCAUCCUCAGCCUCCUAACUUCCUUUUAAGUAACCAUGAGAUAUAUUUAGGAACUGCUGGUUUCUGAGCUAAUACCCAUGAGGCACCAAGGCAAAAAAAAAAAAAAAAGGCAAGUUAAACACACUAAAACUGCUGGCCAUCUCUUAACCAUUCAUUGCACAUGUAAAUUUCACUUGCAUUUUUUCUUUUGCAUUUGCUGGUACUAUUUUCACUUUUAUAUCCUAAAUUCGUGUGGUAAGAGGUCCUUUUAAAGCAUAAGGCAAAGUAGCAUAGGGUGGAAAGUUACAGAUUUUAGAGAAAGGUAGACAUGGCUUUGCAAACUAGCUCUAUUACUUAUUACAUCAAGAAUCCCAGAGAAGUUUCUUCUCUAAUCUUCCUAAAUGUUCUUAUGUGUAUAUUAAGGGUAAUGAUUCCUAUCUUACAGUAUUAAUGCGAAUUCACUGAAGAUUCAUUCAUUCCCCAAAUGUUUAUGUGCCCUUACAGGAACUGGACCAAGGGAAGAGGACACAGAAGGUAAAAGGAAGCCAGACCAGCAUGUUCUCCCACUCUAGUGCUCCUACCAAGAGGCUUUGAUAAGCAAUCACAAUUGUCCCCAGUGACAUGAAAGAAAAAGUGAAGCACCCUGUAGGGAUGCAUAGCAUGACAUCUACGUAGACUUGGGUCAUGGAAGGAAACUGUCACCACAUACAAGUUCAAGGGAAAUGUUCAGCCUCCAGGCCGCUGAAUGAAGCUCUGCCCAGGCCUUAGGAAAAGGUGAAACCCCAACUAGCAGGGGCCCCAGUUCACCAUAUCCAGGAAGGUGUCCUUGAACCAGAAAUACCCACGUUGUACUCCGACAUGAACAAGAAAUAGAUUUCUAUUAUAUUAAGCAACAGAAAUUUUCAGAUAUAUCAGUUCUCGCAGCAGGAAGGAUGUAUUGAUAAUGGCAACAUGGAUGGAGCUCAAAACAUCACAUUUAAUGAAAAAAGAGACUUACAUAAAAAAAUUAUAGACUAUAUUAUUACAUUCAAAUGAAGUUCAAGAACAAGCAAAAGUUGUGGAAAAAUAUCAGAAAACUUGCUUCUGCUGGAGGGGUAGGAUGGGAUUUGACUGGGAAGAGGCCUAGGGGAACAUGCUGGAAUGAUAUUAAUGUUCUAUUUCUUGAUGGAGGUUUGGGUUCCACAGGUGUAUGUAUUUGCUAAAAGUUAGCAAAUGUAGAGUUAAGGUUUGUGUUCUUCCUUGUGCAAUACAUUUUACACCAAAGGAAAGGCUGUAAACAAAUAUUGAACUGUAGUUAAUCAUAUGUAUGGAGAAAAACUUAAGGAAAAGACUUAUGAAUGCCUCAAGUUUAUUUAAAAAAGCAUUAAAAAUAAGAUUAAACAGGUAUUUAUGGAUAAACUACUGAAACUGAGAGAUAUUAACAGUAAAUAGUCAAAAUGUUCACUGUAAGAAUGAAAUUGAAAGGGAUUUGAACCCAGGUCUGUUUCACUGUAAAUCCUUGCUCCUGUGCUCUCUCAUGUUUAUUGGAAUUCAUGGGUAGAAAAUUUAAAUGCUCUGAAUCACUAUGAGAAGAAAGAUUCAGGAAAAAAAAAUGAAAGGCUAGAUUUCCAAAGAUAAGCCAGGUAAAUAUCAUGGAGAGUUGCAACAAUGUACUGCUAAUUAACUCUAAUACUUAGAGCUAAUGUCGAGUUUUCUGAGGGUUGUGACAUUCAUACAUGACUAAUUAACCUACACAGCAAAUCCAUUUCACUAGCUGCCAUGACACAGCCAAUCAAGACUAGCUCACUGUUUGCUCAUUUGGAAAAUGAUGAGGAUUCCCAUUUAGACUUAAUUACACUACAAAGAUUGACAAUUAUCUUCUCUAUAGAAGCAUCAGAUGUUUCGAUAUUAUACUGAACAUGUGCCUAUAAUUAUGUCCAUAAUUUGUCUAGCAGAAAAUGUAACCCAGUCAUUACUGAGAUCUUAUGCCUGUAAUUAGAUAUCAAAAAAAAAAUACCAAAUGGGAAAAGUGGGUUGUUGGGAUGUUAGGACCAUUACAAUGUGAGAAUCUGUAUGAAGCUAUUAGUGGGAACUCAGUAGCAACCAACAUCUCUUGGAUUGCUGCCCUCUAUUAAAAAUAAUCAGGAAGUGUGAGAGAGGGGAAAAUGAUGGCAGAGUAAAACCAUAGUACAAUCGCUUUUCCAAUACUUGACUGCAGUCAUUAAAAAUCCCAUAGGCACCUCAAAUUCAACACAUUUGAAACCGACUCAUUAGCCACCUUUGCCCCACUAUAGCUACUCCUUUUCCUGUGUUUGCUUUCUUAGACGAUUGCAAAGCAUUGUAGAGUCAUCUGCAACAAUUGUUCUCUCACUCCUUUCUCCUAAUCAAACCUCCGUGAUUCUGAUUACUAAUUUUUUCUAAGUGUGUUGCUCCUCUCUAUGCUGUGACUCUUCCAUUGUCUGCCUUCAUCAUCCUUGUAUGGUCAAUUUCAAGAGCACGUAUAAGAACGGUGCUGCAUCUGAAUGUUCACUCAUAAGUGGGAGUUGAACAAUGAGAACACAUGGACACAGGGAGGGGAACAUCACACGCUGGGGCCAAGCGGAGGGAGAGCAUUAGGACAAAUACCUAAUGCAUGUGGGGCUUAAAACCUAGAUGAUGGGUUGAUGGGUACAGCAAACCACUAUGGCACAUGUAUACCUAUCUAACAAGCCUGCAUGUUCUGCACGUGUAUUCCAGAACUUAAAGUAUAAUAAUAAUAAAAGAAGAAUGGUGCCGCUUUCCUCAAAUGUCUCCACCGUGUCACUUAUCUUCUGAAUUUCUCCCAGUAUGAUCAUCUCUAAUCACGAAUCUCAUUAUGCCACUCUGCCAUUCAGAAGAGUUGAGUGUGUCCACCUCUUUCCUAACAGCAUUUGGCAGAACACAGAAAGUAUGUUUUGUUUUUCAUUGAAUUUUGUGCCAGCUUCACGCUGGCCUGCCCCAGUCUGUAAUUUAGGCUAGCUCCAUUAUAUGGUUUACUAAUUAUGUAAUGUGACAUGCUCAUUAUUUCAGUUAUCUCUUGCAGGACAACUGGCUACCCCAAAAUUUAAUAGCUAAAAGCAAUCAUUUUUAUUUUGCUAAUGAUUUUUUGGGGUAAGGAAUGUAGAAACGGCUCCAAAGGGUGGUCGUUUCUGAUCAAUAUUGCAUCAGCUGGGGUGGAAGAAUCUUCUUCAAAAUAGCUUCUUUACUCACAUCUGGUGCCUUAGGGCUUCUUGACCUCUCUCUCUCUUCAUGUGGCUUCUCAUCCUCCAGGCUUUCUUCACUUGGCUUACCUUCUUGCAGCAAGGGUAUCUAAAAGAAGUCUCACUUUUUACACGGAAGCUAGAUUCCAAGAGGCAGGCAGUAGAAACUGCGCAGCUAGCUAAAGGCUAUAACAGAAAAAGGCAUGGCAACACUUCUACCAUAGUCUAUUAGUGAAGGCAGUUCCCAAGACCCUCAGAUUUAAGAGCACAGAGAAAUAGAUCCCAAUUCUAGAUGGGAAAAUGUCCAGGUCACGUUGAAGAAGAGCACAUAGGGCAAGAGACACUGUUGCACCUGUAUUUGCAAAAGUAAAUCUAUAUGCAUGCUAUUUCAUUCUUCUAAAAUACUGAGUGGCUGUAGCUCUCAACGCUAAUCGCUCUGUCUAUCCUACUCAAAUGCACUUCGGAGCAAUUGCUCAACUUUGCACAUUCUCUACGCAACCUCUCUCCAAAAUGCCCCUACAAUACUUAGUGUAAUCUCUUUUAUGUUAGAGUGGAACACCAUUGUCUAUUUACUGACAUAUUUAUCUCUCCCGCCAGAAUAUAAGGAUAAGCUCAUGUCUUAUUUACUUUAGAAUACCUUUUGUGUAACACAGAUGCUGGCAUAUAGUAGAUAUUAAAUACAUGUUCUAUUGAUCACAAGACUAAUAAAAGGAAUAAAUAAAUUGUCCUAUUCAUACAUGUAUUAUCUAUGCCUGGGGUACUUCCUGGAACAAGUUUAGUACCUGGUGAUUAUCAGCUUCCAAGAUGGCCCCCAAUAGUCUCCACCUCCUGAAUUCACACUCUUUGUAGUUCCUUCCUGCAUUGUGCCAGAGUUGGUCAAUGUGACCAACAGGAUAUAGUAGAAGGGAUGGUAUUAUGCUAUAAAAGACGUUCAAUUUUUAUCUCUUUCUCUCUCAUAAUUCACCCUGAGAGAAACCAGCUGCCUUGUUGCAAGCAGUCCUACGGAGAGGCCCACAUAGUGAGAAACUGAGGCCUUCUGCCAACAGCCAGAGGAGGGAGCUUGCAAGCAGACCCUCCAGCCCCAGCUAAGCUUCAGGUGACUGUCCAGGCAACGGCUGGAGUAAAACCUCACAAGACGUCCAGAGCUAGAGCCACCCAGCUCAGCUGCUCCCAGAUUUCUGACUCUCAGAAACCAUGUGAGAUAAUAAAUGCUUGCUGUUUUAAGCUGCUAAAUUUUGAAGUAGUUUUUUACACAGCAAGAGAUAAUUAUUUUAUUUACUAAUACAUAUUCGUGAAUGCCAUCCAACAUAGAAAGAAUGAAGCAGUUCCAUUCUUCUUCUUGGAUUUUUAGCUAAAGUAUUUUGUUGUUACUACGACAGACACCUGGGUGGUAAUUGCUAUUUCAAGCUGGACACCUGGGCUUUUUCUCCACUACAAAGAACCUCUCAGUUACUCCCAGAGAAAGUAAUGAUUUCACUUCUUGGAGUAAGUGUUUGUGCUAAUUAGCAGCAUGACGAAAUACAGCAUGUCAAGCAAAAAACUAUUUGUGCUUACCUUCCAACACAUUCUCUUACAGAGAGGACAUGAUGCCAGAGAAAUAAACAUUAAACUACUGUACACUAUCAGACUUUGCAAUGUAGCCUUACUUCACUAGCUUUGUAUUUCAAUCCCUAAUUACUAAACUGAUAAGAUUUCUGAUUAUUUUGGUUGAAAGAAAAAGCCCUCCUUUUGUCUCAACAAAAUUAGAACAUGAAAGAAAAAAAUAAAUACAUGAAAUUACCUAGAGAAUAUAUUAUUUAUAUCUGCUUCUAAGAAAUUCAGCAGGGGAUUUUUAAAAUGCUGGAUUAGUAAUUUUAUAAUCUUUUAUAUUCAAAUAUACUUCCAUGAAAUGUUAGC